RNAcentral lists this transfer RNA (73 nucleotides) under Solecurtus divaricatus (divaricate short razor). Its description in RNAcentral is "tRNA-Ser". The record is from RNAcentral. Lineage: Eukaryota; Metazoa; Mollusca; Bivalvia; Cardiida; Solecurtidae.
AGUGGGGGAAUUUAAGGAUAAGUGUGGUGGCUUCUAACCACUCACAUGGGCAGUUCGAUUCUGUUCGUCCCUU